GGACAGGUGUCAGAGUGGUCGAAUGAGCACGCUUGGAAAGCGUGUGUGCUGGAAACAGUACCGUGGGUUCGAAUCCCACCCUGUCCGCCA
RNAcentral lists this transfer RNA (90 nucleotides) under Verrucomicrobiota bacterium. RNAcentral's name for it is "Verrucomicrobia bacterium (freshwater metagenome) tRNA-Ser". It matches the Rfam family "tRNA". From Rfam's summary of the family: Transfer RNA (tRNA) molecules are approximately 80 nucleotides in length. Their secondary structure includes four short double-helical elements and three loops (D, anti-codon, and T loops). The record is from RNAcentral. Lineage: Bacteria; Pseudomonadati; Verrucomicrobiota.